Chelonia mydas (Green sea turtle) is the source of this 1760-nucleotide long non-coding RNA. RefSeq lists it as uncharacterized. NCBI's taxonomy places the organism in Eukaryota, Metazoa, Chordata, Testudines, Cheloniidae. The transcript has 3 exons. The record is from RefSeq and is a predicted model, not a curated record.
AGUUGAUCCAUACCACCUCCUUCCCGCCUUCCUUUUGUCUCUGUAGAGAAGAGCUUCCUGGCUUGUGAUCUCAGGCAAAUGACUGUGGAGGUGGGCGUCUGCAGAGACAAUACGUUGGCAGAGCUCCAGCUACAAUCAGCCCAGUACCGUGUCUCUGGACAGAGAUGAGACUGAGGACGCUGUUGUGAUGGGGAUUCUCUACUGCGUCUACUGGACACAGCUGGACUUUGUGGUUCCCCAGCUCCCAGGUAGCUAACCCAACCAGCGAGGCCUCACCUCACCACUGAGGGCCUCCCCACAUCCUAGUGACACAUCCUAGGGACAGGGCACUGGACUAGCCAGCCCAUGACAGGGCACUGGCCCUUUUUUGUCGUCCUGGAACUGGGCUGUCAGCUGUUAGUGCCGAUGUUACUGUGUCUUGCAGAUGCACUGUACUCUCAGCCCCAGAAGACAGGGCAGCCUGUCCCCUGUGCGAGGCACUCAAGGGAGUGAGGCUCCAUCACAGACACCAACAGUUUGAUGCUGCACAACUACUUAUUUCUUAACCUACAGAGUGGGCAGAAUUUGGGGAAAGCAAAUGCAUAUCUCUACAAAGUUGUGAUGCUUUCUGUCAGGCUCUGCGCUCAGUUCAAAAUACUAGUGCUCACAGCCAUUUUCCAGAUCUGUGAGGCUGUCUCACCACCUUACCCAAUCACAGCAGAUGGGAAGUGUGCUCAGGCCUGAGUUUAAACACUCUUAGCCAGGUUCUCAACUUGAGACCCCUAGUUCCAGGCACAUACAAUGCGCCCACCGUGACCCCAAUCCUGCAAUUGGAUCCAUGCUAGCAAACCCUUUACAUUGGUGCAGAGCCCCACUGAAGUCAAUGAGGUUCCAUGUGGAUCAGGCCCAAGGGUGGGAGCCCUGAUUUCUUUGGAGAAUCAAAGUCCUGGCAUGCACACUAUGUAUUUUUGGGUUUGGGGAGAUAAUCUGACCUCUGACAGUCCAAGAGCCUGUGUAAAUAUCUGAUUUGCACAUGCAGUCACAGGACUAGGUGUGCAACUUAGGUGGGCAAUUACAUGCUCAUUUUUGUGCAUGGCUCUAGGGUUCUUCCUCUUCCUCUGUCUGGAAGCUCUCAGCAUAAGGGCUUUCUCAGUUGGGGACCCUAUCUGUGGCAUUUACUCCUCUCGGUGGCCCCUCCAAACCCCAGGCUAGGCAUCUUCUGGGAAGGAUGUUGAACAAAUUUAUUUUCCUUAGCAGUGGAUUGAAGUUUUGGUUGAAUUAUUUGGCUUUCUAGUAAAAUCUCUGUUGCUAAAGUGCCCCAGGUGGCAUCAUAAAAAUUUGUAACAUAUAAAAUAAAGUCACCAUCAGACAGAAAUAGAAACUUACUUGUCCAUGUGGGCACUGCACAAUGUUUGUGAUUGUGAUUAUGAACCUGGAAAACACACUGGUGUUACUGGACUCCAACGGCAGUCGUUACAACACACACAAUCUCAUGGUGCACGGCCUGGCCUCUGUCACAGGGUCCCCAGCCCUGAUCUUGUAAUCAGACACAUACAGAGCACCUCUGCACCCCUUUGGGGCUGUGCAUUCAGAUUGCAGGAUCAGGGCCCAAGGCAUUUCGAGAUACUGGCAUAAAAUUACCUUCAAGGUUUUUUAAUGUAUUUAUGAAAUAAUUUCUAUUCUUCAAGUGAACUUUACACACUAAAGCGGCUGGAAAUGGCAGAUGCUGCCUACAUCAGGUAGGCUAGCCCUGCAGUGGGCGGUGUAAUUUCCAGCUUGGG